Molecule: ribosomal RNA, 253 nt
Filed under: uncultured bacterium
Lineage: Bacteria
Description: partial 16S ribosomal RNA
Rfam family: Bacterial small subunit ribosomal RNA
Source: RNAcentral
UACAGAGGGGGCGAGCGUUGUUCGGAAUUACUGGGCGUAAAGGGCGCGUAGGCGGCCCGCUAAGUCGAACGUGAAAUCCCCAGGCUCAACCUGGGAACUGCGUCCGAUACUGGCAGGCUUGAAUCCGGGAGAGGGAUGUGGAAUUCCAGGUGUAGCGGUGAAAUGCGUAGAUAUCUGGAGGAACACCGGUGGCGAAGGCGGCAUCCUGGACCAACACUGACACUGAGGAGCGAAAGCCAGGGGAGCAAACGGG